Small nucleolar RNA from Sorex araneus (European shrew), 253 nucleotides. RefSeq annotates it as small nucleolar RNA SNORA53. The record is from RefSeq and is a predicted model, not a curated record. The transcript has a single exon. Lineage: Eukaryota; Metazoa; Chordata; Mammalia; Eulipotyphla; Soricidae.
AAUAUUCUGUCAAUAAACACAUUAUGAGGCAGCUUCAGCUGAAUGAUAAUUCUUCCAUUUUUAAAAAGUUACAGGUUUCUUGUAGUUUCAGUGAAAGUAACAUCCAACAACUUUCUUGGUUGUGUAGUCAAAGGUACUUGAGUCAUUGGCAUGCAAGAUCAAUAUACCUGCAUAUUAUUCUUAAGUUUUGAUUAAAAUAACUUAUAGUUUUGCUGCCAUACGAUGUUGGAUAUCAUUGGUUUGUCCUGCUCCC